UACGUAGGGUGCAAGCGUUAAUCGGAAUUACUGGGCGUAAAGCGUGCGCAGGCGGCUUUGCAAGACAGAUGUGAAAUCCCCGGGCUUAACCUGGGAACUGCACUUGUGACUGCAUCGCUAGAGUACGGCAGAGGGGGAUGGAAUUCCGCGUGUAGCAGUGAAAUGCGUAGAUAUGCGGAGGAACACCGAUGGCGAAGGCAAUCCCCUGGGCCUGUACUGACGCUCAUGCACGAAAGCGUGGGGAGCAAACAGG
Molecule: ribosomal RNA, 253 nt
Filed under: uncultured bacterium
Lineage: Bacteria
Description: partial 16S ribosomal RNA
Rfam family: Bacterial small subunit ribosomal RNA
Source: RNAcentral